This 324-nucleotide ribosomal RNA is filed under the name uncultured eukaryote. Its description in RNAcentral is "partial 18S ribosomal RNA". It matches the Rfam family "Eukaryotic small subunit ribosomal RNA", at positions 1470 to 1796 of the family's 1831-position model. The record is from RNAcentral.
CCCUUAGAUGUUCUGGGCUGCACGCGCGCUACACUGAUGCGAUCAACAAGUUUUUCCUAUGUCGAUAGACACGGGUAAACUUUUGAACUCGCAUCGUGAUGGGGAUAGAUUAUUGUAAUUAUUAAUCUUCAACGAGGAAUUCCUAGUAGGUGCAAAUCAUCAGUUUGCAUCGAUUACGUCCCUGCCCUUUGUACACACCGCCCGUCGCUGCUACCGAUUGGUUGAUCUGGUGAAUUAUUCGGACUGCCGGCUGAAGGGGUUUCCUCAUCUGCCAGCGGAAAGUCUUGUUAACCCUAUCAACUAGAGGAAGCAGAAGUCGUAACA